CCUACGGGAGGCAGCAGUGGGGGAUAUUGCACAAUGGGGGGAACCCUGAUGCAGCGACGCCGCGUGGGUGAAGGAGUGCUUCGGCAUGUAAAGCCCUAUCGGCAGGGAAGAAGAUGACGGUACCUGGCCAAGAAGCCCCGGCUAACUACGUGCCAGCUGCCGCGGUACUACGGAGGGGGCAAGCGUUAUCCGGAUUUACUGGGUGUAAAGGGGGCGCAGACGGCAAUGCAAGCCAGGAGUGAAAGCCCGGGGCCCAACCCCGGGACUGCUCUUGGAACUGCAUGGCGGGAGUACAGGAGGGGCAGGCGGAAAUCCUGGUGUAGCGGUGAAAUGCGUAGAUAUUAGGAGGAACACCGGUGGCGAAGG
Molecule: ribosomal RNA, 366 nt
Filed under: uncultured bacterium
Lineage: Bacteria
Description: partial 16S ribosomal RNA
Rfam family: Bacterial small subunit ribosomal RNA
Source: RNAcentral